Physeter macrocephalus (sperm whale) is the source of this 803-nucleotide RNA transcript. It is a transcript of the gene named natriuretic peptide B, with no coding region annotated. NCBI's taxonomy places the organism in Eukaryota, Metazoa, Chordata, Mammalia, Artiodactyla, Physeteridae. The transcript is spliced from 3 exons. The record is from RefSeq and is a predicted model, not a curated record.
GCCCAGGGGGGGAGGCGUGAACCGGGACCCAGCGCGGCGGCAGCAACCUCUCUCCGCCCUUCCAGCGACAUGGACCCCCAGACGACGCUGCCCCGGGCGUUCCUGCUCCUCCUGUGCUUGCACCUGUCGCCGCCGGGCUGUCGCUCCUCCCCGCUAGGUGGCCCCGGCCCGGCCUCGGGACUGCGCGGGAGACAGGAGCUGCUGGGCCGUCUACGAGGCAGGGUCUUGGAGCUGCAGGCCGGGCAGAUGGACCUGGACCCCCUCCAGCAGGGCCACGGCCUCGCAGAAGCCUGGGAGACCCGGGCGGCCGCCCCCGCGGGGCUCCUCGGGCCCGGCAACAGCGUCCUCCAGGCCCUGCGGGGAAUACGCAGCCCCAGGAUGAUGCGCGACUCCGGCUGCUUCGGGCGGAGGCUGGACCGGAUCGGCUCCGUCAGCGGCCUGGGCUGCAAUGGUGAACACCCACCCCAUUCCCACCGCGUGCCGCCUGUCUGGGUUUGACGUCUCUGGGGGCCAAACUCUGAGCGAAGGACACCUGGGUAUCACUCUCGCUGACAGUCCUCAGGGUCAAGGAGCGCCUUUCUGGGAAUAUUAAAUUUUGACAACAUUCAUUACCAUGCCUUGCUGAGGUGGUAUUAAGAGAAGGUCCUGGCUGCAUCUGAUUCUCCCUCAACCCCCUGCUCCCCUUUGAAGCAACUCCUAUUUAUUUUUACUUAUUUAUUUAUUUAUUUGGUUGUUUUAUGUAAGAUGGUUCUUAUCUUUGAGCACAAAUUUUCCAUGAUGAAAUAAAGUCAAUAUUAUAGCUA